GAGUUUGAUCCUGGCUCAGAUUGAACGCUGGCGGCAUGCCUUACACAUGCAAGUCGAACGGCAGCACGGGUGCUUGCACCUGGUGGCGAGUGGCGAACGGGUGAGUAAUACAUCGGAACAUGUCCUGUAGUGGGGGAUAGCCCGGCGAAAGCCGGAUUAAUACCGCAUACGAUCUGAGGAUGAAAGCGGGGGACCUUCGGGCCUCGCGCUAUAGGGUUGGCCGAUGGCUGAUUAGCUAGUUGGUGGGGUAAAGGCCUACCAAGGCGACGAUCAGUAGCUGGUCUGAGAGGACGACCAGCCACACUGGGACUGAGACACGGCCCAGACUCCUACGGGAGGCAGCAGUGGGGAAUUUUGGACAAUGGGCGAAAGCCUGAUCCAGCAAUGCCGCGUGUGUGAAGAAGGCCUUCGGGUUGUAAAGCACUUUUGUCCGGAAAGAAAUCCUUGGUUCUAAUAUAGCCGGGGGAUGACGGUACCGGAAGAAUAAGCACCGGCUAACUACGUGCCAGCAGCCGCGGUAAUACGUAGGGUGCAAGCGUUAAUCGGAAUUACUGGGCGUAAAGCGUGCGCAGGCGGUUUGCUAAGACCGAUGUGAAAUCCCCGGGCUCAACCUGGGAACUGCAUUGGUGACUGGCAGCUAGAGUAUGGCAGAGGGGGUAGAAUUCCACGUGUAGCAGUGAAAUGCGUAGAGAUGUGGAGGAAUACCGAUGGCGAA
RNAcentral lists this ribosomal RNA (715 nucleotides) under uncultured Burkholderia sp. RNAcentral's name for it is "bacterial SSU rRNA". It matches the Rfam family "Bacterial small subunit ribosomal RNA", at positions 9 to 719 of the family's 1533-position model. Lineage: Bacteria; Pseudomonadati; Pseudomonadota; Betaproteobacteria; Burkholderiales; Burkholderiaceae. The record is from RNAcentral.